AGCCGGGUGUUGGUUCCGGUAGAGAUCGAGGGAAAUUAGUACCGAAGUCUGAGAUGAAAGAUGGCGAGAAAAGCUGUGUGUAUUUCUGAGGUGCCCGUACCGCAAACCGACACAGGUAGGUAGGAAGAAGAUUCUAAGGCCAACGGGAGAAGGGUUGUUAAGGAACUCGGCAAAUUGACCCCGUAACUUCGGGAGAAGGGGUGCUCCAGAGAUGGAGCCGCAGAGAAUCGGCCCAAGCAACUGUUUACCAAAAACACAGGUUUGUGCUAAAUCGAAAGAUGACGUAUACGAGCUGACGCCUGCCCGGUGCUGGAAGGUUAAGAGGAGAUGUGCAAGCAUUGAAUCGAAGCCCCAGUGAACGGCGGCCGUAACUAUAACGGUCCUAAGGUAGCGAAAUUCCUUGUCAGGUAAGUUCUGACCCGCAUGAAAGGCGUAAUGAUUUGGGCACUGUCUCAACAGCCCGCCCGGCGAAAUUGUAGUACCGGUGAAGAUGCCGGUUACCCGCGACAAGACGGAAAGACCCCAUGGAGCUUUACUGUAGCCUAAUAUUGGGUUUCGAUGUUGCAUGCACAGGAUAGAUGGGACUCUGGGAAACCAAGGCUUUGGCUUUGGCGGAGAGGCCGUUGGGAUACCAUCCUUGCGAUAUUGGAAUUCUAACCUGCGGCUCUGAAUCGAGUCGGGGGACAUUGUUAGGUGGGCAGUUUGACUGGGGCGGUCGCCUCCUAAAGAGUAACGGAGGCGUUCAAAGGUUCGCUCAGCUUGAACGGAAAUCAAGCAAAAGAGUGCAAACGCAGAAGCGAGCCUAACUGCGAGACUGACGGGUCGAGCAGUAACGAAAGUUGGAGUUAGUGAUCCGGUGGUAUGUGAGUGGAAAUGCCAUCGCUCAACGGAUAAAAGUUACCCUGGGGAUAACAGGCUGAUCUCCCCCAAGAGUCCACAUCGACGGGGAGGUUUGGCACCUCGAUGUCGGCUCAUCGCAUCCUGGGGCUGUAUUCGGUCCCAAGGGUUUGGCUGUUCGCCAAUUAAAGCGGUACGCGAGCUGGGUUCAGAACGUCGUGAGACAGUUCGGUCCCUAUCUGUCGUGGGCGCAGGAUAUUUGAUGGGAGCUGUCCCUAGUACGAGAGGACCGGGACGGACGUACCUCUGGCGCACCAGUUGUUCCGCCAGGAGCAUAGCUGGGCAACUACGUACGGAUCGGAUAAACGCUGAAAGCAUCUAAGCGUGAAGCCGACCCAAAGAUAAGAUAUCCCACUGAUU
This 1257-nucleotide ribosomal RNA is filed under the name Faecalibacterium prausnitzii. RNAcentral describes it as "partial 23S ribosomal RNA". It matches the Rfam family "Bacterial large subunit ribosomal RNA", at positions 1544 to 2822 of the family's 2925-position model. The record is from RNAcentral. Lineage: Bacteria; Bacillati; Bacillota; Clostridia; Eubacteriales; Oscillospiraceae.